UACGUAGGGGGCAAGCGUUGUCCGGAAUCAUUGGGCGUAAAGCGCGUGUAGGCGGCCCGAUAAGUCCGCUGUGAAAGUCCAGGGCUCAACCCUGGGAUGCCGGUGGAUACUGUCGGGCUCGAGUCCGGAAGAGGCGAGUGGAAUUCCUGGUGUAGCGGUGAAAUGCGCAGAUAUCAGGAGGAACACCAAUGGCGAAGGCAGCUCGCUGGGACGUGACUGACGCUGAGUCGCGAAAGCGUGGGGAGCAAACAGG
RNAcentral lists this ribosomal RNA (253 nucleotides) under uncultured bacterium. RNAcentral describes it as "partial 16S ribosomal RNA". It matches the Rfam family "Bacterial small subunit ribosomal RNA", at positions 524 to 776 of the family's 1533-position model. The record is from RNAcentral.